GAUGAACGCUGGCGGCGUGCCUAAUACAUGCAAGUCGAGCGAACGGACGAGAAGCUUGCUUCUCUGAUGUUAGCGGCGGACGGGUGAGUAACACGUGGAUAACCUACCUAUAAGACUGGGAUAACUUCGGGAAACCGGAGCUAAUACCGGAUAAUAUUUUGAACCGCAUGGUUCAAAAGUAAAAGACGGUCUUGCUGUCACUUAUAGAUGGAUCCGCGCUGCAUUAGCUAGUUGGUAAGGUAACGGCUUACCAGGGCAACGAUGCAUAGCCGACCUGAGAGGGUGAUCGGCCACACUGGAACUGAGACACGGUCCAGACUCCUACGGGAGGCAGCAGUAGGGAAUCUUCCGCAAUGGGCGAAAGCCUGACGGAGCAACGCCGCGUGAGUGAUGAAGGUCUUCGGAUCGUAAAACUCUGUUAUUAGGGAAGAACAUAUGUGUAAGUAACUGUGCACAUCUUGACGGUACCUAAUCAGAAAGCCACGGCUAACUACGUG
Molecule: ribosomal RNA, 497 nt
Filed under: uncultured bacterium
Lineage: Bacteria
Description: partial 16S ribosomal RNA
Rfam family: Bacterial small subunit ribosomal RNA
Source: RNAcentral